ACUGUAAUGUGAGAGGGCCUUUGUGUUAGACUGGUUUUCCUGUGCUCAAUGCAUUCAUAUUUUUCCAUUGCAAUUAAAUGCAUCUUGAAAGAUAAUAACCAGAGCAAAAUAGAGCGGAGGCCAAAGGUCCAAUUUCUAAAUGUGGUCGGAGAACAGUCAGCCACUUCUCCAGGUAAUCUCAGCAAAGCACUAAAAAGGCAGUGGAUCACUCUGCUUGCUGUCAUGCAGCUGAACCACAGAUUCAUUACAGCUACUGUUAAUUUCAGAUGGGAGGGAAACAGGAGAAAAAAAAACAAAACAGAGAAAAUAAAGAACCAGCAAAGCAGACCUUUGAAAGUGCACAGAAAGAAAGGACAACAAUCACAGACACUUCAUUUCCAGUUGGGAACAAAUACAGGCUGGUACUGCCUGGGCUGAAGACAACAGAAAUUUGGACCAUGGGACACCAAAUCCUCCCUUUUGAUGAAGGAGCACGAAGAAAGAGAAAGUGCAAGAGGACGCUCCUAAUGGGGAGAGUCAGCAGGCAACUGUGUGCUCAAAGCAAGGGGCUGCUUCUACUCUUGGGUCUGAGCUUGGGCAUACAGUUGCAAAUAAAACCUGGCUACAAUUGGGAGAUGUUUAUUUGUCCAUGUGCAUGGAUUGGUUUUAAUAUGUAGAAAACCUUCACAUACAGGAAAAGUGCCUUAGUGAGAUUGUAGUGAUUGGCUAGUAUGCAGUGGUGCUUGAACCUAACCUGUGAAUUCACAGGAGCCCAGAGCUUCCCCUACCCGGUCUACAUCCCUGCGCUCACUGUCUCAGGGGACAUUUCAAAGAGAUUUGGAAAGCAGCUGAACUGGAGGCAGCAAGACCACAGAAGACAGAGAGCUGAAUCAACAACUGGAGUGAGAAAACUCUAAGGUGAAGAACAUAUUUCUCCAUGAAAUACACUGAAGGGCACAGUAUGUGAUAUUAACGGAUAUACUGCUUCUAUUUUACAUCCCUGGGGAGUAGUCUCUCCACAUUCCAUAGCAUUACAGUUCCACUCUGCUUAUCAGCCAGCCAUGAUAAAGGAACAACGUUGUCCUAAUGGAAAUGUUGCAUUUCCUUUAUCAUACUGCAGCAGCAAUUGUGAUAAUAGUUAUGUCUUGCUAUAAAAAAAUAAAGUUAGUAAAAUCAGAAAUGGAAAGGAGAGAGAUAAGUCCUGUUUUCUCAGUACUCAUGUGUUUACCUACUUUUCUAUAUAUAAAUUAAGGUUAUACUGAACUAUUACAACUCAUAUUCUUAACUUACUAAAUCAAAUCAUAAGCUUCAGAUUAGUAGAGAACUGCACGUUUAACACAAAACCACACUUAGGUUUAACUUAACAGUUUAUCCACAGAAAUUGAGCAUUCUUAAUUAUGCACAGAUUCUGUCACCUUGUAUUAAAUUGGAAGAUGAAAAAAUUAAAUGCUUGUCAUUAACAUGUCAAAUUGGAUCAGAGGAGACAUCAGUUUGAAGAAGUCAAGGUUCGCUUAGUGCUUCUGAGAUAGAAAGGUAAAUGCAUAUAAUUACGUCAAUAUUUAGACGUAAAGCUGCCAAUCUGAAUUAUAAAUAUGUAAAACUCUCCACUCAGCUUUCACAGUGCCAAAAUCAACCAACUAUCAGUAUCUUAGAUGUCUGUUUAACACAUUUCUGAUGAAUGAAACUCUGAAUCCUGAAACUGCCUGAAAAGCAGUAGAGGGUAUUAUUUUUGUUUAGGUGACCUGCUUAGGAAUUUAUAUUAGUGAACAGCAGGUCUCUUGAAGUCAUUACAGAGCAACAUUUCCAGAAUCAGAAAAUCUAAAAUAAAUGACCAGCUGGGCCUGAUGGUCUUGCUACCUGUGUCACAGAAUCAGCUCAUCAGCAAUGCCUAGAAAUUCCUUUUUCUAUUGCUUAAGCAGUACCCCUCAUGCACAUGUAAAGUGAGUGAUCUUAUGAUGAUUCCUGUGGUUCAUGACCAAGAAUAGGGAAAAUACAUGAAUCUACUAAAUUGCUCCCAGGAGGCCUUUCGUUUCAAUGUUAAAUCAAGUUUCAAUGAAUGCUGGAAGCAAUAAACCACAGUCACACAUGCUAUGCAGUCAUUAACGUGGACAUGCAAAAAUUAAUUAGAGAGACUGUUUUGCUGAGGUUGACACACACACAAAUAAUUCUGCCUUUACUCAACUACUAUUUUCUCUUGUCACUUUGGCUUCCUGGUGUGCUUUCUUCAUUCCUGUGCUGCUUCCCUUAGGAAGAUGCAUUAAAAAACAAAAAGAGCCUUAUAAGAGCCUUCUACUUUGCUUGUAGUUUCUCUUAGAAGUUCUUGGGCAUGUUUUUGGCCUUCCAUUUCUGAUAGACCUAAGUGGAAUCAGGUGGUUAAUCCUAUGCCAUUUACUUCUUGAUGGCUCCUCAAUUGUAAAAAAAAAUAUGACAAAUGAGGUAGCAUCAUGCAAUGUGGGAAAUAACAGUUUAUGAAUAUAAAUUUCACCAGAGUGUCCAGAGCCAUGCUAGAGCAUACUAUGCUCUCCCACAAGUGGCAUUAACCACCCCCUUUGCCUGUCACACAGGUUUGUCCCUCUGUUAACGUGGUUUUGGGGGCAACCAAAGAAAGUGCUGCAAAAUGGUAACUAGUGGCAAAAGAAAGACUUGCAGUAAGGGACUGCUCCCCCGAGAUGGGCUUCAGCCUCUCUAUAGGAAGCUGCUGCCCUCUGAACUCUAAUCCUGCUUGUGAGCUGAAGCUCUGUGGGAUGCACUAAAAGCCUCCGUUCAUUUCCUGGUUACGUUCAGGUUAUGUUGAAAGGAGAAGGUGUAUGAAUCAAGGGUGUACCUCAUAUAAGACCUGACAAACGAGGGAGGGGAGGCUUGAGUGGCUUCCCUAUUCACACUAAGGACCAGCUGCUUUGAUCUGCUGAUACCAGCUCCUAUUUUAGCAGUCACUAGGGACAGGAAUACCUUGUCCUUGGAGCAGGAACAGAGUGAACUUGGCAGAAGCUCAACUCUGUAAGGCUGUGAGGAUGUAGGGCAUGCACUUUGCAGCACAAGACUUCCAUCACAUGGCCUGCACAAGAGCCCACUACAGGGCUCUGAAUUGUUUUAAUGCAAGUAGCGUAUAUUGGUCUUGAACACAGAAAUUACAUGCUUGUUGCAGCAACUACCGUUUCAUGAGACACAUCUCUAGCAGCCACAGAAUCCUUUUUAAUGAGAUGCACUCAAAAAGAUAAGGCAGCUAUUUUCCACUGUAGUUGAGUGGGAGUUGUCUUUUGUAGAAAUACGUUGUUCCCAACUCAUUUCUGGCUUGUGCACUAACAGGCAAAGAGCACCCUCUCUGUUUCUGGAUUUUCUCCACAUGUUGGCCAGACUAUCAUGUAAUACUUGAUCGGGAAAACAAGGAAACACUGUUUUAAACAUGUUAGACCUUUAAUUUAAAACUAUUCUUUGCUACCUUGCUUCCCCUUGCAAAGUUGCCAAACAGAUAGAUAUUUGAGUUCUGGGAGCAGAAACUCAGUUCACAGUAAAUAAGAAAGCAGCCUUUCAAGAACAGCUUGCACUUGGUAAGGGGUAGAUACACACUGGCUGCUUGCCCAGAGGUUCUCUUUUGCCUCAAGAGGGACAGAAAAAGGGAAGGACACAGUGAAUCUUUACUGUUAAUUAUACAAGGGGUAAGGAAGAUGCUAGAAAAAUGAUACACUGCUAUUGUACUGAGGAAACAAGGGUUUCAUAUUCCAAGUGCAGUUCUGUUAACUCUUCAUAUCUUCUACAUAUACUUGUACAGAAGAAUUUCACAUCCAUUAAGAGUCAUUUACAGCAAAAUGGUAGCAGACAGGCAAAUCUGUUCUACCCGUGACAUGUAUUUACAGAUCUAGUGGUUACUGCCUUAGGGGUGUUAGAGUUAUGCGAAUCCCUGCUUAGUAAGGGAACAAGAAUGCCAUAUAUAUAUUUUCAUUAAAACUGUCUGAUUUCUGUUGUUGUGAUUGCUGCCUUAUGAAUCAUUUCUUUCAAACAAAAAAUGUUCCAGGACUGCUUCUAUCUCCAGAGCCAUCUAGGACUAGGAUGCCUCCAGCCUGAGUUAUGCAGUGUCCAGCAGAAUCCUUUGCUGUGUACUAUGGAGAGUAGAGUAUGGUAUAACAUCAGAUUUAAGGAGCAGAAAAAUGAUAAAAAUAGAUCAAUAGGCAAUUCUGGUGUUAGUCUAAUAGUUAGAAAAGGAAUAUUUAGUUCUUAAAUUUUUGAAGUUGGAAGAAAAUUUGAUUUUCUAAAUUGUUCCAGCUCACCAUGUAUGAUUACAGCAUACCACAUUUAGGCUUCAUAAAGGCAUAGGGAGACAACAAAGGAAGUUUAUUACUACAAUGUAGAUGUACAAACUGUGCCAUGGCUAUGGCACGUACGGUUAUUUUCCAUUCUAGCAGACUUUGUACUGCUCAGGCAAGCAGAAUAAGUUAAGACUGUAACUGAUUUUCUUUUUCACGUGGAUCAUUACUUCAUUUUUUGAAUUUUUGUUUUGAGCAUUUUUUCUUUACUGCAAGAUCUGUUUUCCAGCAAUUUGCUAUGUUUUAGUUCAAGUACUUAAUAAAUCCUAUAUCUGACCG
Long non-coding RNA from Cygnus olor (mute swan), 4559 nucleotides. RefSeq lists it as uncharacterized. The transcript is spliced from 3 exons. Lineage: Eukaryota; Metazoa; Chordata; Aves; Anseriformes; Anatidae. The record is from RefSeq and is a predicted model, not a curated record.